Molecule: ribosomal RNA, 711 nt
Filed under: uncultured Sphingomonas sp.
Lineage: Bacteria; Pseudomonadati; Pseudomonadota; Alphaproteobacteria; Sphingomonadales; Sphingomonadaceae
Description: bacterial SSU rRNA
Rfam family: Bacterial small subunit ribosomal RNA
Source: RNAcentral
ACAUGCAAGUCGAACGGUAGCAGGCCUUCGGGUGCUGACGAGUGGCGGACGGGUGAGUAACGCGUAGGAAUCUGCCCUGUAGUGGGGGACAACGUGGGGAAACUCACGCUAAUACCGCAUACGCCCUGAGGGGGAAAGCGGGGGACCUUCGGGCCUCGCGCUAUGGGAUGAGCCUGCGUGGGAUUAGCUAGUUGGUAGGGUAAAGGCCUACCAAGGCGACGAUCCCUAGCCGGCCUGAGAGGGUGGCCGGCCACACUGGGACUGAGACACGGCCCAGACUCCUACGGGAGGCAGCAGUGGGGAAUAUUGGACAAUGGGCGCAAGCCUGAUCCAGCAAUGCCGCGUGUGUGAAGAAGGCCUGAGGGUUGUAAAGCACUUUCAGUGGGGAGGAAAAAGCGAAGGUUAAUACCCUUGGUCUUGACAUUACCCAGAGAAGAAGCACCGGCUAACUCCGUGCCAGCAGCCGCGGUAAUACGGAGGGAGCUAGCGUUGUUCGGAAUUACUGGGCGUAAAGCGCACGUAGGCGGCUUUGUAAGUUAGAGGUGAAAGCCUGGAGCUCAACUCCAGAAUUGCCUUUAAGACUGCAUCGCUUGAAUCCAGGAGAGGUGAGUGGAAUUCCGAGUGUAGAGGUGAAAUUCGUAGAUAUUCGGAAGAACACCAGUGGCGAAGGCGGCUCACUGGACUGGUAUUGACGCUGAGGUGCGAAAGCGU